UCAUGAUCUGAUGGGCUGUAGGGAAGAAACCAUCCCAGACGGAUGCACUUCGGAGACCACAGACAGUCCUAGAAUCACAGAGAGAUUAGUGAAUCUCCAGUGCCAGCACACCUGUGCUGCGGCGCAGAUGUCUCGAGGACUGAGGAAGGACAUGAUGUAGAGAGACAGAAAGCGAGGCAGCACUGCCGUGAAGUCCAUUCGAGUGAUGGGGACUGAUUCUGCCAAGCAAUCACUGGUGAACCUAAAAUCAUAACCAAACAAAGUCAUUGCAAUUUGUAUGAGAAAUUGGAAUUCCUGUGCGUGGUGAGAUAUCUGCACUGAGAAUUUACUUGAGCUGAGUUUUGGAGCAUCUCCUCAGCAGACGACACAUAAAUUCUUUUCUUUGACGGUCUGUCCACAGGUCAAACCAAUGGAGGAUGAGAGUUG
Pimephales promelas (fathead minnow) is the source of this 426-nucleotide long non-coding RNA. RefSeq lists it as uncharacterized. Lineage: Eukaryota; Metazoa; Chordata; Actinopteri; Cypriniformes; Leuciscidae. The record is from RefSeq and is a predicted model, not a curated record.